CCUACGGGAGGCUGCAGUGGGGAAUAUUGCACAAUGGGGGAAACCCUGAUGCAGCGACGCCGCGUGAGUGAAGAAGUAAUUCGUUAUGUAAAGCUCUAUCAGCAGGGAAGAAAAUGACGGUACCUGAGUAAGAAGCCCCGGCUAACUACGUGCCAGCAGCCGCGGUAAGACGUAGGGGGCAAGCGUUAUCCGGAUUUACUGGGUGUAAAGGGAGCGUAGACGGCAGUGCAAGUCUGGCGUGAAAGGCGGGGGCUCAACCCCCGGACUGCUCUGGAAACUGUACGGCUGGAGUGCAGGAGAGGUAAGUGGAAUUCCUAGUGUAGCGGUGAAAUGCGUAGAUAUUAGGAGGAACACCAGUGGCGAAGGCGGCUUACUGGACUGUAACUGACGUUGAGGCUCGAAAGCGUGGGGAGCAAACAGGAUUAGAUACCCCAGUAGUC
RNAcentral lists this ribosomal RNA (440 nucleotides) under uncultured bacterium. Its description in RNAcentral is "partial 16S ribosomal RNA". It matches the Rfam family "Bacterial small subunit ribosomal RNA", at positions 338 to 795 of the family's 1533-position model. The record is from RNAcentral.